Molecule: long non-coding RNA, 1449 nt
Organism: Gallus gallus (chicken)
Lineage: Eukaryota; Metazoa; Chordata; Aves; Galliformes; Phasianidae
Source: Ensembl
UCUUUGCACUUUCUCCUACACCUACGGAAAAUCAACCACCAAGCUUGCUUCUUCUGCAUCGAAUUUGAACUACAAAUGUUAGAUUGGCAGGAAUUUUCCACUUGAAGUCUCUCUUAUUCCUAUACAGAGAAUCUUCCAAACGAUAAGACUGGAUGUUUUUCUAAUAUACCCCAUGAUAUCAAGUGCAACUCUAACGUAUGAUUAUACUGCUACUCUUUCAUUAUGGGACAUGGAGCAAUCGUGCAUUGCUGAAAGAUGCUAAGAGGGACCAGCUACAGACUCUUAACCUAAAAAAAAUUCCUAAUAUAUAUAUUUUUUAACUUCAAAUGUUUUGCAGAAGUAUGUUGAAUUUGUCAAGCUCUCAUCAUUAUACAAGAAUAUCAGAGGACUGGAGUAGGCUGUUAGAACAUAGUCAUCUGCAAGAUUCAGUGACCUAGGGGCAGUAAUGCCAUGGACUACCUUGGCCACGUGGACUGGAGAAUCUCCAGAUUCCUUGCCAGCAGGCUGCAGUUUUGAACUGCCUGUGCCGCCUGUGUGUGAUGAAGCUCUCCAGGUAUCCUGGAUCUCCCUCACAUCCAGGAGCCUGGUCACAGUGGAAGCUUUGCAGAACUUACUUUGAAUUUUAACUUUUUGGACUUCUAGCUUUCCACCUUUGAGACAUGAGUCUUCCCUGAAUCAAGAGGCUUCCCAUAAGUCAGGUUUCACCAGUUAAUUUUCAUUACUGAGAGACAGCUCUGAAUCAUUUUACUGGCCAGAGUGUGAUGACUUCCUAGGAGCUGGAAUAGCUGGCUCCUCCAUUUUACUUAGAAAAACAUUACAAAACGUAUCAAUUAAAAAAAAAAAAAAGUUUGGAUCAGUUUCAGUUUGAAGUUAAAACAGUGUAUUUUAAGUGUCUACCCAGAAAUCUGUGUGCUAGAUGUCUCAUCUGAGUCAGUGCAGUCAGUGCACAGCUUUGGAAGCCUUUGAGCUGCCCUGGAGUGUCCAACUGAUCCUCCUGCUGUCACUCCAGAAGGUUGUUGUUCGUCUUUAGGACCCGUAGUGUAUUCUAGAGCUCUUCAACAUGUCUGAGAUAAAUUAACAUCAUCUUAAAUUGCAAUGGUUAGUGGUCUAGGGGCUAUCAAAUCAAGUCCAGUAGAGUCAGCCAUGCUUAGAUAUUCCUUUAUUGAUCACGUAGUUCUUUACUUUAGAUGAGCUAAAUCACUCUUUUGGCUCUAUUCAUAAUAACUUCAUUAACUAUAAUAAAAUCUUGGACUUUGUGUCCAUGGGGGCAUCUGCUUGCACAGCCUUGAAGUUGUUUUAGCAUACAGCUGACCCCACUAAGUUUUGUACAUAUACUUACCAUUAGAACACCUUAGGGCAACACAUAUUUCAAAAUCACAUAGAAGGAAACUGAAAGCUUAGCCCACACUUUGCAGCUGCAUUUGAAAAAUUAAAUAAUAAAAUAAUAAU